This 1644-nucleotide ribosomal RNA is filed under the name Triticum aestivum (bread wheat). Its description in RNAcentral is "partial small subunit ribosomal RNA". The record is from RNAcentral. Lineage: Eukaryota; Viridiplantae; Streptophyta; Magnoliopsida; Poales; Poaceae.
AUGGCAAGCACUCAGGACGUGAACAUGGACGGCAGCCUCACCGGCUACGCACCGUUCGGCUCGAGCACGACGACGCUGUCCGUGCACAACGAGGAGGAGACGGCCAUCACUGUGGCCGUGGGUGGCAACGAGCCCAGCGGCCGGUACAUCCUGGUGGCGGGGCGCGCCGUCGAGAAGGACGGCGUGCGCCUGCCGAUCCCGGUGGGCGUCCUCAAGCCUGGGAUCACGUACCGCGUUGGCGGGUGGAUCAGCCUGGGAGCAGCACGGGGCACCAGCCACCCCGUGCGCAUCCACCUUGACGUGGACGACAAUGGCAACGAGACCCUGGUGGAGUGCGGCGCGCUGUGCGCCCAGGAGGGCGCGUGGACGGAGAUCAUGGGCGCCUUCCGGCUCAGGACCGAACCGCGCAGCGCCGCUGUUUACAUCCACGGCGCCCCUGCCGGCGUGGACGUCAAGGUCAUGGAUGUCCGCGUCUUCCCGGUGGACCACAAGGCGCGCUUCAGGCAACUCAAGGAUAAGACUGACAAGGCGCGCAAGAGGGACGUGAUUCUGAAGCUGGGAGCGGGAGCGGCGGCGUCCGUGCGCGUGGUGCAGUUGGACAACGCCUUCCCCUUCGGGACAUGCAUCAACACGUCCGUCAUCCACAACCCGGUCUUCCUCGACUUCUUCACCAACCACUUCGACUGGGCCGUCUUCGAGAACGAGCUCAAGUGGUACCACACCGAGGCGCAGCAGGGCCAGCUCAACUACGCCGACGCCGACGCGCUGCUCGCCUUCUGCGACCGCCAGGGCAAGCACGUCCGCGGCCACUGCGUCUUCUGGUCCGUGGACGGCGAUGUGCAGCAGUGGGUCAAGAACCUCAACAGGGACCAGCUCAGGUCCGCCAUGCAGAGCCGCCUCGAGGGCCUCGUCUCCCGCUACGCCGGCAGGUUCAAGCACUACGACGUCAACAACGAGAUGCUGCACGGCCGCUUCUUCCGCGACCGCCUCGGCGACGAGGACAUCCCGGCGUACAUGUUCAAGGAGGUGGCGCGCCUGGACCCGGAGCCCGCGCUCUUCGUCAACGACUACAACGUCGAGCGCGGCAACGACCCCAACGCGACGCCGGAGAAGUACGCCAAGCAGGUCGCGUGGCUGCAGGGCCGCGGCGCCGUGGUGGGCGGCAUCGGGCUGCAGGGCCACGUGCAGAACCCGGUCGGGGAGGUCAUCGGCGCCGCCAUCGACAGGCUCGCCAAGACCGGCGUGCCCAUCUGGUUCACCGAGCUGGACGUGCCCGAGUACAACGUCAGCCUCCGCGCCAAGGACCUGGAGGUGGUGCUCCGGGAGGCAUACGCGCACCCGGCGGUGGAGGGCAUCGUCUUCUGGGGCUUCUUGCAGGGCACCAUGUGGCGCGAGAACGCCUGGCUCGUCGACGCCGACGGCACCGUCAACGAGGCCGGCCAGAUGUUCCUCAACCUGCAGAGGGAGUGGAAGACGGACGCGCGCGGGAACGUCGACGGCGACGGCGACUUCAAGUUCAGGGGCUUCUACGGCAGGUACGUCGUGGAGGUCACGACCGCGACGGGGAAGCAGAUGCUCAAGACCUUCACCGUGGAGAAAGGGGACAACAACACAGCUCUCCUCGUGGAUUUGGCCGACGCCUGA